RNAcentral lists this ribosomal RNA (490 nucleotides) under uncultured bacterium. Its description in RNAcentral is "partial 16S ribosomal RNA". It matches the Rfam family "Bacterial small subunit ribosomal RNA", at positions 30 to 507 of the family's 1533-position model. The record is from RNAcentral.
AUUGAACGCUGGCGGCAGGCCUAACACAUGCAAGUCGAACGGUAACAGGAAGAAGCUUGCUUCUUUGCUGACGAGUGGCGGACGGGUGAGUAAUGUCUGGGAAACUGCCUGAUGGAGGGGGAUAACUACUGGAAACGGUAGCUAAUGCCGCAUAACGUCGCAAGACCAAAAAGGGGGACCUUCGGGCCUCUUGCCAUCGGAUGUGCCCAGAUGGGAUUAGCUAGUAGGUGGGGUAACGGCUCACCUAGGCGACGCUCCCUAGCUGGUCUGAGGGGAUGACCAGCCACACUGGAACUGAGACAGGGUCGAGACGCCUACGGGAGGCAGCAGUGGGGAAUAUUGCACAAUGGGCGCAAGCCUGAUGCAGCCAUGCCGGGUGUAUGAAGAAGGCCUUCGGGUUGUAAAGUACUUUCAGCGGGGGGGAAGGGAGUAAAGUUAAUACCUUUGCUCAUUGACGUUACCCGCAGAAGAAGCACCGGCUAACUCCGUG